Molecule: transfer RNA, 90 nt
Filed under: Pseudobdellovibrionaceae bacterium
Lineage: Bacteria; Pseudomonadati; Bdellovibrionota; Bdellovibrionia; Bdellovibrionales; Pseudobdellovibrionaceae
Description: Bdellovibrionaceae bacterium tRNA-Leu
Rfam family: tRNA
About the family: Transfer RNA (tRNA) molecules are approximately 80 nucleotides in length.
Source: RNAcentral
GCCCGAGUGGUGGAAUUGGUAGACACACAGGACUUAAAAUCCUGCGGUUUUAUUAAAACUGUGCCAGUUCAAGUCUGGCCUCGGGCACCA